Etheostoma spectabile (orangethroat darter) is the source of this 442-nucleotide long non-coding RNA. RefSeq lists it as uncharacterized. NCBI's taxonomy places the organism in Eukaryota, Metazoa, Chordata, Actinopteri, Perciformes, Percidae. The transcript has 3 exons. The record is from RefSeq and is a predicted model, not a curated record.
CCUGAGCCUCCACGCCCAUGUCCUGCCCUGCUCAUGUCCUUCAUGAACGCUACAGUAUUUCUACUAGCCUCUUUUCACUGGCAAUGUUCCCUCAUGCCUUUCCUUUUUUUAGCAUUUAUUACCUGAAAUCCUGCCUCCUGAUGCCUACCUGCCUGCUUGCCUGACCCUCUUCCUGAUCCCUGGAGUUUUGACCCGUGUCACCUUGCAGCUGAAGUGAGUGUUGCUGAUGGCCCUGCCGACCGUUUCCUCAGCCAGCAAGAACAAGAAAGACCUAGUCCUGCUGAACCCAAGUCUGGGGGACAGAGUUCCUAAGAUCACUGAUAACCAAUCACCAAAUCAAGCUAUUAAGGUUAGGAGAGUUGUUGUUCUCAAAGCGACUGAGAAUAACGUGGAACGGACCCCCUCACUCAAGGUUGAUCAAACCAACCUGGAAUGGCAGACC